GUAGGUGGCAAGCGUUGUCCGGGAAUUAUUGGGGCGUAAAGCGCGCGCAUGCGGUUCUUUAAGUCUGAUGUGAAAGCCCACGGGCUCAACCGUGGAGGGUCAUUGGAAACUGGAGAACUUGAGUACAGAAGAGGAAAGCGGAAUUCCACGUGUAGCGGUGAAAUGCGUAGAGAUGUGGAGGAACACCAGUGGCGAAGGCGGCUUUCUGGUCUGUAACUGACGCUGAGGCGCGAAAGCGUGGGGAGCAAACAGGAUUAGAUACCCUGGUAGUCCACGCCGUAAACGAUGAGUGCUAAGUGUUAGGGGGUUUCCGCCCCUUAGUGCUGCAGCUAACGCAUUAAGCACUCCGCCUGGGGAGUACGGCCGCAAAGGCUGA
This 376-nucleotide ribosomal RNA is filed under the name uncultured organism. Its description in RNAcentral is "partial 16S ribosomal RNA". It matches the Rfam family "Bacterial small subunit ribosomal RNA", at positions 527 to 897 of the family's 1533-position model. The record is from RNAcentral.